RNAcentral lists this ribosomal RNA (606 nucleotides) under Laribacter hongkongensis. Its description in RNAcentral is "bacterial SSU rRNA". It matches the Rfam family "Bacterial small subunit ribosomal RNA", at positions 1 to 602 of the family's 1533-position model. Lineage: Bacteria; Pseudomonadati; Pseudomonadota; Betaproteobacteria; Neisseriales; Aquaspirillaceae. The record is from RNAcentral.
GAACGAAAGAGUUUGAUCCUGGCUCAGAUUGAACGCUGGCGGCAUGCUUUACACAUGCAAGUCGAACGGUAGCAGGGACUUCGGUCUGCUGACGAGUGGCGAACGGGUGAGUAAUGCAUCGGAACGUACCGAGUAAUGGGGGAUAACGCAUCGAAAGGUGUGCUAAUACCGCAUACGCCCUGAGGGGGAAAGCGGGGGAUCGAAAGACCUCGCGUUAUUCGAGCGGCCGAUGCCGGAUUAGCUAGUUGGUGGGGUAAAGGCUCACCAAGGCGACGAUCCGUAGCAGGUCUGAGAGGAUGAUCUGCCACACUGGGACUGAGACACGGCCCAGACUCCUACGGGAGGCAGCAGUGGGGAAUUUUGGACAAUGGGGGCAACCCUGAUCCAGCCAUGCCGCGUGUCUGAAGAAGGCCUUCGGGUUGUAAAGGACUUUUGUCAGGGAGGAAAUCCUUAAGGCUAAUACCCUUGGGGGAUGACAGUACCUGAAGAAUAAGCACCGGCUAACUACGUGCCAGCAGCCGCGGUAAUACGUAGGGUGCAAGCGUUAAUCGGAAUUACUGGGCGUAAAGCGUGCGCAGGCGGUUUGAAAAGUCAGCUGUGAAAGCC